GGGGAUAUAGCUCAGUGGUAGAGUGCGUGCUUGGUGUGCAUGAGGUCCUGGGUUCGAUCCCCAGUGCCUCUG
Molecule: transfer RNA, 72 nt
Filed under: Camelus dromedarius (Arabian camel)
Lineage: Eukaryota; Metazoa; Chordata; Mammalia; Artiodactyla; Camelidae
Also listed under: 1 other name
Rfam family: tRNA
About the family: Transfer RNA (tRNA) molecules are approximately 80 nucleotides in length.
Source: Rfam by way of RNAcentral